GACACAGUGAAAUACUGGAAGUCUGCAUCCGGAACGGGGCCUUCAUCAGAACCCAACCAUGCCGGCACCCUGAUUUUGGACUUUCAGCCUCCAGAACUCUGCCAUGUUGUGAGGUCACUCAGGGAGCCCAUGGAGAAGCCUAUGCGAUAAGAAGCUGAGACCUUCCCUGAACCAUAUGCGUACUUAAAGGAGUGAGUCAUUGGCAUAAUGCAACUGUCUGAAGAUAAGUGCUUGAUCACCAAGUGAAAAUUAACUUUACAAUCUUUAAAAUGGUGAUUCAUCAUCCUUGGUUGAAAAUCUAUACCUGAGCAAAAGGAAGGCCAGUUCGAGUACAACACUGACUGUCCUUUUAGAAGCAUUAGCUUGACCUGUGUUAUUGCCACAAUAAGAAAAUUCUUGAUACAUGGACUGUUUUAUAUAAUUGUGCUACGAAAUGGCCC
This is a long non-coding RNA of Orcinus orca (killer whale), 440 nucleotides long. RefSeq lists it as uncharacterized. Lineage: Eukaryota; Metazoa; Chordata; Mammalia; Artiodactyla; Delphinidae. The record is from RefSeq and is a predicted model, not a curated record. The transcript is spliced from 4 exons.